Molecule: ribosomal RNA, 446 nt
Filed under: uncultured bacterium
Lineage: Bacteria
Description: partial 16S ribosomal RNA
Rfam family: Bacterial small subunit ribosomal RNA
Source: RNAcentral
GCCAGACUCCUACGGGAGGCAGCAGUGGGGGAUAUUGCACAAUGGGGGGAACCCUGAUGCAGCGACGCCGCGUGGGUGAAGGAGCGUUUCGGCGCGUAAAGCCCUAUCGGCAGGGAAGAAGGAGGACGGUACCUGACUAAGAAGCCCCGGCUAACUACGUGCCAGCAGCCGCGGUAAUACGUAGGGGGCAAGCGUUAUCCGGAUUCACUGGGCGUAAAGGGAGCGCAGGCGGCACGGCAAGUCUGGUGUGAAAACCCGGGGCUCAACCCCGGGACUGCAUUGGAAACUGCCGGGCUGGAGUGUCGGAGGGGUAAGCGGAAUUCCUAGUGUAGCGGUGAAAUGCGUAGAUAUCAGGAGGAACACCGGUGGCGAAGGCGGCCUGCUGGACUGCAACUGACGUUGAGGCCCGAAAGCGUGGGGAGCAAACAGGAUUAGAUACCCCUGUA